CGGAAGUUUUUCAUUUUAUGUACCAUUCACACGUAACGUGAAUAAAGUUCUGUACUAUUCACACGUAACAUGAAUAAAGUGUAUGAAUAAAGUUUGAGAAGAUGAAUAAAGUGUACUAUUCACACGUAAGAUGAGUAAAGUUUGAGAAGAUGAAUAAAGUGUACUAUUCACACUUAGCAUGAAUAUACUUGGACCAUCUCCAACUAGGGUUCCUUAUCCUCUUUAUUUGGCAAAAUAAAUGGAGUUUUGCAAGUUGGAGAGAGAUAGACACAAAAAAUAGAUGGUGGGUCCUACCACUAAGUGGGUCCCACCAUCAUUAAUUAUAUUUUACUUUUUUCAAAAUUUUAUGUGUCUUUAUCUCUCCAAAUUGAAGAAAUGGAGAAACAUAUAAAUGAAGAGGAUCCUAACCCGUUCCUUACUUACCAUUAUCUAAUUAUUGUUUAUUCA
Molecule: long non-coding RNA, 447 nt
Filed under: Medicago truncatula (barrel medic)
Lineage: Eukaryota; Viridiplantae; Streptophyta; Magnoliopsida; Fabales; Fabaceae
Description: long non-coding RNA (MTRU_LNC002799)
Source: RNAcentral